This 253-nucleotide ribosomal RNA is filed under the name uncultured bacterium. RNAcentral describes it as "partial 16S ribosomal RNA". It matches the Rfam family "Bacterial small subunit ribosomal RNA", at positions 524 to 776 of the family's 1533-position model. The record is from RNAcentral.
UACGGGGGGGGCAAGCGUUGUUCGGAAUUACUGGGCGUAAAGGGCUCGUAGGCGGCCAACUAAGUCAGACGUGAAAUCCCUCGGCUUAACCGGGGAACUGCGUCUGAUACUGGGUGGCUUGAAUUCGGGAGAGGGAUGCGGAAUUCCAGGUGUAGCGGUGAAAUGCGUAGAUAUCUGGAGGAACACCGGUGGCGAAGGCGGCAUCCUGGACCGACAUUGACGCUGAUGCGCGAAAGCCAGGGGAGCAAACGGG